GACGAACGCUGGCGGCAUGCCUAACACAUGCAAGUCGAACGAGACCUUCGGGUCUAGUGGCGCACGGGUGCGUAACGCGUGGGAACCUGCCCUUAGGUUCGGAAUAACUCCCCGAAAGGGGUGCUAAUAGCGGAUAAUGUCUUCGGACCAAAGAUUUAUCGCCUUUGGAUGGGCGCUCGUUGGAUUAGCUAGUUGGUAGUGUAAAAGCCUACCAAGGCGACGAUGCAUAGCUGGUCUGAGAGGAUGAUCAGCCACACUGGGACUGAGACACGGCCCAGACUCGUACGGGAGGCAGCAGUGGGGAAUAUUGGACGAGGGGCGAAAGCCUGAUCAAGCAAUGCCGGGUGAGUGAUGAAGGGCUUAGGGUUGUAAAGCUCUUUUACCCGGGAUGAUAAUGACAGUACCGGGAGAAUAAGCGCCGGCUAACUCCGUG
This 433-nucleotide ribosomal RNA is filed under the name uncultured bacterium. RNAcentral describes it as "partial 16S ribosomal RNA". It matches the Rfam family "Bacterial small subunit ribosomal RNA", at positions 28 to 507 of the family's 1533-position model. The record is from RNAcentral.